GAUGAACGCUGGCGGCGUGCCUAAUACAUGCAAGUCGAGCGAACGGACGAGAAGCUUGCUUCUCUGAUGUUAGCGGCGGACGGGUGAGUAACACGUGGAUAACCUACCUAUAAGACUGGGAUAACUUCGGGAAACCGGAGCUAAUACCGGAUAAUAUUUUGAACCGCAUGGUUCAAAAGUGAAAGACGGUCUUGCUGUCACUUAUAGAUGGAUCCGCGCUGCAUUAGCUAGUUGGUAAGGUAACGGCUUACCAAGGCAACGAUGCAUAGCCGACCUGAGAGGGUGAUCGGCCACACGGGAACUGAGACACGGUCCAGACUCCUACGGGAGGCAGCAGUAGGGAAUCUUCCGCAAUGGGCGAAAGCCUGACGGAGCAACGCCGCGUGAGUGAUGAAGGUCUUCGGAUCGUAAGACUCUGUUAUUAGGGAAGAACAUAUGUGUAAGUAACUGUGCACAUCUUGACGGUACCUAAUCAGAAAGCCACGGCUAACUACGUG
RNAcentral lists this ribosomal RNA (497 nucleotides) under uncultured bacterium. Its description in RNAcentral is "partial 16S ribosomal RNA". It matches the Rfam family "Bacterial small subunit ribosomal RNA", at positions 28 to 507 of the family's 1533-position model. The record is from RNAcentral.